RNAcentral lists this non-coding RNA (96 nucleotides) under Macleaya cordata. Its description in RNAcentral is "Bacterial small subunit ribosomal RNA". It matches the Rfam family "Bacterial small subunit ribosomal RNA", at positions 1229 to 1325 of the family's 1533-position model. Lineage: Eukaryota; Viridiplantae; Streptophyta; Magnoliopsida; Ranunculales; Papaveraceae. The record is from Rfam by way of RNAcentral.
AAUGGCAAUUACAAUGGGAAGCAAAGCUGUAAGGAGGAGCGAAUCCGAAAAGGUUGCCUCAGUUUGGAUUGCUUUCUGCAACUCGGGAACAUGAAG